CGCCAUCUAGCGGUCGAUCUUGAACUCGGUAACCAAGUGAUUUAUUCCCUUUGUGUGACAUUGCACUAUUGCAGUUGCAGUCGAAGUCCUCGCGUUGCUGAGUCCCUCAAACAGCCUGCUGAUUUCUGAGCACAACAUCAAUCUUAAGUGAUUUCGUCGGCCGAAAGCGUCAGGGUCCAAUUCAACCAUUUUACACAACAAAGUAGUGACUGGCAAGUCCCAUUCAUCCUAAAACAGCCGAAAACUUGAGUGACAUUGUAGUGACGAGGGACCGUAGGACAUGAUGCUGAAACAAUCUUUGCCGUAAGGAGAGGCGCAUGGAGCAGUGGGUACAUCGCCGAUGUAAUCAAUUGGUCUUGCUGACGUCCCUAACGUGACGUACUAUGUCAGCAAUAAAAUAGCAAUCUAGAGCAAA
Molecule: long non-coding RNA, 415 nt
Organism: Daphnia magna
Lineage: Eukaryota; Metazoa; Arthropoda; Branchiopoda; Diplostraca; Daphniidae
Exons: 2
Source: RefSeq, a predicted model, not a curated record